GUGGCUACAGUCUGGUGAAGGACCUCAGAGGGCCAGAAAGACAGAGUGAGAGAGAAACAGAAAAUAUAAUGACCAUGAAGCUCAUCUUAAACUACUGCUAGGGACUGACAUACUCUGGGUGGCUUGUGCAGCAUCACAGAACCGCUGUGACCAGAACAUCGAGGUGGUGACUAAAUCAAAAUGUCAUUCCUGCUCCUUGACGUCUUUAGUACAAUGUCCUGAUGACUACACCAAGAGUCAGCCAGAGAGAAGUACAAGACAUGUGCUUAUGUGUGCUGGUAUCACAUCACCAUGGCUUUGUCUGUCAAGGGCUGUUCGUUCGAGUGUUACAAAGACACGGUGGAGCCCAAGUGCUGUCCAGGUCACUGGGGCGAUGACUGCAUUGAGUGUACAGGAUCAGCAGCGACUCCCUGCAGCAAUAAUGGAGUCUGCUCUGAUGGUAUAGCAGGCAAUGGGACUUGCACAUGUGCAUUUGUUGAAGGAUAGGGCUGCAGUGUAAAAGAUCUGUGCAGACCAGACUCCUGCCAUAAAUAUGCCACCUGUGCCACAGUGGAACCAGGAACAGUCGAGUGAAAACCCUGCUGGCUAACGAGAUGAGAGCUCGCUAACUUGCUAAGCUGCACAUGGUUGCAGGAGAGGUGAACACUGACUCGCUGAAGAAGGGAAUCCUCUACUACACUCUGACCGGCCUGGCUGUAGAAACAUUGACAGAUGGAGGUGAUUGAAUGCAGGUUGUGUGUGUUUGUGUGUGUGUGUGUGUGUAUUCCCCAGAUGUUUUCAAGGAUGUGCAAAUGCAGGAUACAAGAGCAGAAUCAUCACAUACUGUUUCACUCUUUUCUGCUCAGAUCAGAUUAUGUUUCAUUGUGUUUGUUAAGAUGACAGGGAAUACAUGAACUUUUCUGAAAUCUGUAAACUUCUAUUUUCAAGGCAGACCAGAUAAAAAUCCAUCUUCAAUGCAGUCGUAAGUAAGGAACUCUUGUGGAGACGGAUAUCUUUGCCUCAAAUUGAAUCAUCCAUUUGGUUGGAACUGCUUCCAUCAGCUUAUCAACCAAAUGGAUGAUUCCAAAAACAACAAUAAGUAAGUGUAGAUAAGCGAGAAAGAGGUUCGUGAAGAUAAAAGAUUUGUGUUACAUAAACAUCAUACACUUACUUAAUGUUGUUUUUGAUUGUCAUGAGGACCAAUAAUGUUUUUGUCUCUUAUUUUUCUUAAAGUAAAACCUGUUGCAUAUUCUCUCAGGGAAUGGAAAAUUCUCUGCUUGAGGUUGAGUUUUAAACUCUAUUAAUCCCUAAAUGAAUGUACUUUAAGACACUUGACCUGCUAGAUAUUACCUUUUUUUGUUAUAAGCCAAAUAUUUGCUACGUUGUAAAAAAAAUAUAUAUAAUAAUAAUAAUUCAUAAAAAUAGGUAAUGAUGUAUUGUAUUAAUAUGAAGGAAUUCAAAUGUUUAGCUGUAUUUAGAAUUUUGCACAUUGUUACAUUAUUGAAUUUUUUUAAGGUUAAUUAAUUUAUAAUUAUUUAAUUGGCCAUCUUUUUCUGACCAUAUAAAACUUAUCCCAGUUCAUCCUUUUUGUUAGAGUGCAAAAAUAACAACUGUUUGGUUUUAAAAAUUUAUUUUUUAUUAAAUAUGUUUUUAUGUCACAUUCUCUGUAUAUAUGUUCGAUCCAGUCACUUAAGCAACACUCUACAUUUUCUUUUCAUUUCUCCCAAUUUCAGGGUAAGACAAAACUACUUGAACUGAUGCACAAUCACAUAGUGUCCACUUCUCAGUUGAGUGCCAGCUUCAUUGUGUUGAAUCUUCGUGCUGUGACCUUGGUGGACCAGGUCCUGACAUUUAAUGUAACAACUGCUGGGUAGAUCCUGGUCAAUGGGGAGUCUGUUCUAGAGCUGGAUGUUGAAGUAAAGACUGGCCGUCUUCAUUCAGUGGAGGGGCUUCUAAUCCCUCCGUCCAUAGAGCCCACCAUACCUCACAGGUGUGACAUCAAAGAAACCAAUGUUUUUAAGGUAAGGCCUAUCUGUUAUCUCCACUUCUAUUGACCAGGCAAUACACCUUUCUGUCUUGAAGGUAUUUCUAUUUGAAAUAAAAUGUAAUGUUUAAAGAGGGGGAUAAUCACUUUCCCCUCCCACUGUAAAUUAAACAGCACAAAUACUACCAAUACUGCAUAAACAAUAGCAUAUUCUUAUUACUGUAAAUGUGUACUAAAUGUGUUCACAAAAUCAGAGGAAACAUUUGAGCUAAAUAUUGGGGGUACAAAAUGACCAAGAUAUAAUUGAGAAAGAUUGGAGUCAUCCAUAGAAUGCAGUUGGAGUAAUGGCAAUGUACAUUUACUUCAUUUGUUUCAAGAAUGCAUGUUACUGCAAGCUAGGCUUUUCUGGGGAUGGAAAGCAGUGUGAAGCGAUCAAUGUCUGUCUUAAAGAAUGCGCUUUUAUUAGGCUUUGAAUUGAAAACAUCAGAAAUUUGAUCUUUCUUUCCCCAUUGGUUGCAAGUAGAACUGAAUUAUAUA
Long non-coding RNA from Carassius gibelio (silver crucian carp), 2500 nucleotides. RefSeq lists it as uncharacterized. The transcript has 8 exons. NCBI's taxonomy places the organism in Eukaryota, Metazoa, Chordata, Actinopteri, Cypriniformes, Cyprinidae. The record is from RefSeq and is a predicted model, not a curated record.